GUCUACUGCCAUACCACCCUGAAUAUGAUCAGUCUUGUCUGAUCUCAGAAGCCAAGCAGGGGUGAUCCUGGUUAGUACUUAGAUAGGAGAAGGCAGUUAACAGCAUAUA
This 109-nucleotide ribosomal RNA is filed under the name Erinaceus europaeus (western European hedgehog). The record is from RNAcentral. Lineage: Eukaryota; Metazoa; Chordata; Mammalia; Eulipotyphla; Erinaceidae.